This is an RNA transcript of Epinephelus lanceolatus (giant grouper), 4387 nucleotides long. It is a transcript of the gene named KH domain containing, RNA binding, signal transduction associated 3, with no coding region annotated. Lineage: Eukaryota; Metazoa; Chordata; Actinopteri; Perciformes; Serranidae. The record is from RefSeq and is a predicted model, not a curated record.
CCAACAGAGAGAGCCUCAGAGAGCCUGGCUGUCCGCACAGAGAGGAGAGGGAAGCUCACACACCGGCUGUGAUGCGUAGCGGGGCUCUGCUGGCUCAACAACACUCGGAUGGGAUAAAACCUCCCGGUGCUCACAUCUAACCGCUCACUGUGCGCGCGCGUGUGUGCCGCGAGGACUGAGACAUGCUCCUGUAGCGCGAGGCGCGAGUGAUAUUAUCGUGUUUGCUGCACAGAAAUAUUUGGCUUGGCCCUAACUUGGAGCCGUGUGGACGCUGAGCAAGUUUUUUUAUUCACUUGAAUCCCAUUUGAGUCGUUUCACUCGGAGCACCGGGGCGAGAUGGAGACCGAAAAGUACUUACCGGAGCUUAUGGCGGAGAAGGACACGCUGGAUCCGUCUUUUCAGCACUCCCUGCGGCUACUGGAUCAAGAGAUUGAAAAAAUUCAGAAAGACGAGGGGAAGGAAGAAGAGAAGUUCAUUGACGUCGUCAUCAACAAGAACAUGAAACUGGGCCAGAAAGUUUUAAUACCAGUCAAGCAGUUUCCUAAAUUUAACUUUGUCGGCAAACUCCUCGGGCCACGCGGGAACUCGUUAAAGAGACUACAGGAGGACACUCUCACAAAGAUGUCAAUUCUGGGAAAAGGAUCCAUGAGAGACAAAGAAAAGGAGGAAGAGCUACGGCAGAGUGGCGAGGCCAAAUAUCACCACCUGAACGAAGACCUGCACGUCCUCAUCGAGGUGUUCGCCCCGCCAGCUGAGGCCUACGCCAGGAUGGGUCAUGCUCUGGAGGAGAUCAAGAAGUUUCUCAUACCAGAUUACAAUGAUGAGAUCAGACAGGCCCAGCUGCAGGAGCUCACAUACCUGAACGGUGGCUCGGAGGAUGCCAAGGUGCCAUCGGUGAGGGGCAAGUCAGCCGCCCGUGGAAGAGGGACACCUGUUCCAGGGCCUCCCAGGAGUCGAGGAGGAGUUCCUCCCCUGCACGCGGCCGUGCCUCGAGGAGCAGCACCCAGAGGAGCCCCACCCAGCCGCGCUCCAUCUUCCAGAGGGAGAGGGGUUCAGAGAGCCAGAGGCUCCCCCCCAACCGCCGGGUACCGACCGGCUCCUCCAAUCGUUCAGGACACAUACGGGGAAUAUGAAUAUGACGACGGCUACGGAACAGCUUAUGACGACCAAGGAUACGAAUCAUAUGACAACAACUACAGUAAUCAAGGACAGAACUCAGACGACUACUAUGAAUACGGACACAGCGGGGAAUCAUACGAGUCGUAUGGUCUGGAGGAGUGGGCAAACAAUCUUGGCAAGGCACCGCCAGCACGAACAACCAAGGGAGUGUACAGAGAUCAGCCAUACACCAGAUAUUGAACUGUUUAUACAACCCGCACCUGAGUCCUCAUGGCUGUUUCAACUCAAGUCGAUGUCCCGGCUAGCCCAGGCCAUCCGUCCAAGUAUCUCACUGGUGCUAAAGACUUGACAAACCGCACACAAGCUUCCAUCAAACAUUCAAGCCCACACAGUGACAAAACAAAUCCCAAAAAGGCCGUCCCACUUCACAAAGGAUCGCCCUCCCUUUGACCAAACAGUGGACACAUUUUCACAGUCUGGACCGAGGUGACUCCUGCGGGGGAUGAGAUGGACCGACCUGUUGAGACGCAGGAAAUGGGGGGAAAAAAGAUAAUGCAUGUAUCGCACAUCGUCAUUCUCGGGAGGAAGGGAGGGACGGAGGAAACCCGUGAGGCAAAUGGAGUUCCUCAUCCUCUGGGACGAUCUGUCGGAGAAUAUUUCCUUCAGAGCCUCUGCGGCUCUGUAUACAUUUUACAUACACACAGGAGUGCUCUGAACUGACUCUGAACCUGCCCUGUGUCUUUCUUAAUUUAGACUGUUGUGGAGAGGAUGUGUCGACCACUCACAUUAGACAACGCCUACCAGGGAGGAAGAGUAAAUAAAUAAUGUAAUAUGCUAAGGUAUGACAUCAUACUCCCAGCAAAGACACGUCUAAUUUCAUAUUGUCGUGCUCAUUAACCUAUAUCCCAUCCACUCCAGUGAAUAAAUAAUUCACAAAGUGCCUUAUUGUUGCAUUGUUAUGACAGCUUUAGAUGUUUACUCCGCUGCCUGAGUUAAAAUAUGGGGCAGUGCACGAGAAUAAGUAGCUUUUUUUCUUAUUAUAUGCUGUUUUUCAGUUUUCUACGUGCAUCACCACAACGCUGGAAAACACCAGCAGCAGCCGCACACAAGAGUACAGUCUAUUCCAGAUGUAUUGCUUAAUCAGAAUCGACUUCAGUGGAUAUUACAAUUCCAAAAUAGCUUUCUAUCGGAUAGAGAGCUUCAUUCUGUCUUGUGCAUAAGUCCAGAUAGGCUGAUCCGUAUUCCACACAGUUGUAUGUCCUCAGUGGCAGACAAUAGUUUUCCAUUAGGGGAAGUGAUUCUCUCCGGAGCCUCGGGCCAAGCCUCACACAAUAACACAGCGACCUAAAGCUUGCAUCUCAGGCUCCCGGAGUCGACUCUCAUCACCUCCGGGUGCUGAUUCCCCCUCUGAGGUGGCUUAGCACGACAGGCUUAUCUGAAGUGAGCUUGUCCGAGUUAAUAAAGUAAGAGCAGCUUAUUUGAUUAUGAAUGCAUACAAAGGAGGAUCUCGUGAUCUGUCACUGGGAGACAAGUCCAUUUCAACACGGGAGGACAGAUCGAUGGGUACAGGGACCAGUGAAGGUGUUUUAAAAAGGCGUCGGAGGAUAUGGAGCAAAAUUAGAAAUAGCUUAGAGGCCCCGAAAAAUGAAUAUUUUCUCUUUUACUUUCAUACUAUGAUCGAUGACGCCCUACAUGAACACAUGAGGUUCUGCCAGAGUUUGAGCAGUUUGGUUCUUUAAAUUGAGGAUUUGUCUUCGUCCUUUUCUUUUCUCACUGAUUUUCAUUGGGCAGUCUGUUGGAAAAAUGUGAUGUCAUGUAUUUUUGUCACAUCUGAUCAGACCACACCCACUACUUUUUUUUGUUUGGGUGGGAAACUGUAAGCAAUACAUGCCGAGACUUAGAUAAACAGAAAGACAGCUAUAACCUGACUGUGCCCAGUGUUAAAAAUAUUCACCAACAGGCACCUCAGAUGCUCACUAAUAGUGCAGCAAUGUAUUUGUUUCGUCCAUACAACUGCUUAAGUGUAUAAAAAAGAAUUUGUCAAUAUACAGGGAUUAUGUGUCAGACUGUUUCUUGGCCUGGACCAGAAUCUUCAAUUCAAAGUGUCCACUGAUUAACUGGUUGAACUGUUGUUUUUAUGCUUGUUCUUACAUUGUUUUUCACUUAUUAAGAAAACUAAUUAUUAUAAGGUGUUAAUAAUUGAGCCUAAGGGGUGUUGGUACACAGAUUUUGUUACAUAGUUCAUUACUUAACUUCUUUGGUCAUGAACAUAAUAGUAAUACUCAAGAUUUGAAAUUGAAAAGUUUUCAGCAGCUUUAAUGUGUGUAAUUAUGUGAAAAUUAUUCUAAUGACAGGAUUUUGUUUGAAAAUAAGAGACUGCAGAUACAAUUCAUGUGUUUAUGUGAUGUUUCCAGACCAUCUUUUUCUCAUUGUCCCUGGGUCGAAUUUGUGGAGGGGUAGGAAGUAGAGGUAAUGAUACAGCAAUCUAAAUGAGUCAGUGGUCAACGAUCCAAUAUCAUAGUUGCAAAGUGAGAACAUAAACACAUAUUGUCAUCCUUAAGAUCAAAUCAAAUUUUAUUUAUGUAGCACAUUUAAUACAAAGUAAUCUCAAUGUGCUUAUACAUACAACACGUGUGAAUAAAAACAAAUUCAGCUACGCCUUUAUUUUGAAACUCCUUCCAUUCAAACAGUGCAAGCGGCCCAGCACCACACAGACAAUGGUAUGCAGCCAAGAAAAAUAAAAUGAGGAUACUUACUGAUAUUGUCUAGUAUUGAUCGCAGGCCCCUGAAUUCAGUCGAAUCAAAAUCGUAUCGUGCCAGACCUUUUGAUAUCAGCAAAAUAUUGUAUCGUCCAAAGAAUCAAUAUAAUUCUGGUGAAACUUGUUAUUUACAGCCCUAACAGGAGGUGUUUGUGUCUUUUUUUUAACUGCAACUUGGACACCAAAAUCAGAAAUUUCAAACUCAAUGAGUUAGUUAUUUAUAGACACACACAAAUAAAAUAUUUGGGUCUGAAAAAUAUACAAAAAAAAAAAAAAAAUACAAUAAACCCAUUAGUUAAAACAUGGGGUAAUACAAGUGGGUAAUACAAGGUAGAACACAUAACCACAUAGAGCCCCAUCAUUCAGUUGAGGUUUGCUGCUGCUCCAGUAGCUUCAGACACUCAUGUAAUAUGUUUACCGUAAAACUUGUAUUAGCAACACAGGCUAUUAUUUGCUUAAAGGGAUAGUGCACCCAAAAAUGAAAACUCAGCCAUUAUCUACUCACCCAU